This 1994-nucleotide long non-coding RNA is filed under the name Theobroma cacao (cacao). RNAcentral's name for it is "long non-coding RNA (TCAC_LNC000974)". Lineage: Eukaryota; Viridiplantae; Streptophyta; Magnoliopsida; Malvales; Malvaceae. The record is from RNAcentral.
AUUCAAUAAAAUAUUUUAUUUUUUUAUAAAACAAUAUUUAUAAAGUUACUAGUAAAUAAUUUUUGUAUCAUAAAAGCUAAAUAAAUUCAUACAUACUGUAAUACAGAUAACCAAAGUAUAAAAUUUAAUUUACAGUGACAUGUGGACCCACGAACGACCAAAAGUAUCUAAAGCGGUAAACCUACAGUUUUUGAGGAUGCAAGUCCAACUGUAGCCCUCAACGAAAUGAGCUAUCUACCGACUAUCCUAAGCCUGAAAUGGGUGAAAAUGAGGGUGGUGAGAUUAUAUAAUCCCAGUGAGUAAACAAAUACCAUCUCAAAUAUCUAAAGCUGAGUAAAUGGAGACAGAUAAAAUAGUUUAACAUACUGUAAUUCAUCACCUUUCAACUUAUUUCAACAAAAUAAAAUCAAUUCAUAUAAAUCGAGUAAUCAACAGGGCUUAUGAAUUUCUUAAAACUUUGGCUCGUGCCAUAAUCAUUCUCAUACUCAGUUAUCAGGGAUACCUUGGCUAAGGGCUAUCCCAACCGAAACCGCCAAGGCUAUUAAAAAGUUAUGUACGCAUAAAUCAUGUUUUUUUUUUGAAAACAUAGUCGUUCCUUGGCGUUGGCUGAGUUCACCCUCACAUGGUGGUUUGGCGUAAAGUGAACUCUAAAGUUUUAACCUCAGGAGUGAUCCAACCGUGCCUCUCAUACUGAUGUAUGAAUAUAAUAGGGUUACCGUGCCCCUCUAAUAGGCUGGUCCAUGGAACCCGUCCACUGCAGCGACCAAUAUAUAACCCACCAAUUUAAUAAAAUUCAAUAGCAUGACAUGGCAAUUAUUUUAUUUUACAGCCUCUCAAGGCAAAUUAACAGUUCAUACAUUUUCAACACAAAUACCAAUUCAGCCAUUCAUGCAAAUAUUAUCAUAAGUCAUUCAAUUCAAACCAUGAUUUAUAACACAGCAAUUAGUCGUCAAUUACUCCAUUUUCAAAACCAUCAUUCAAUUUCAAGACAAUUUUAUAAAAUCAUUUUCAUUUAAUCACAUUUUGCUUAUAAAACAUAAAGAUUUACCAUUUAAACUCAUUUUCCAUAAAAUCACAAAAUUGGAUAAAAACCACUUUAGAUAAUUAAGACGAUAGUAAGGUUACUCACUAUUUCGAGAGUCGAAUUCCAAGUACUCCGAUUCCUGAUCCUCGGGUACUAUCUCUUUACUUUUGCCAGAAUGCUUACCACCUAGACAUAAUGCACAAUAAGCUAUUUACUAUAUUUGUGCUAAAUUGUUAUAAAACCAAUUCAAGCUCUAUACUAAUGCAUGAAAUGGAAUGCUAAUUGUUCGGAUUAUCGUCUAAACACGGUGUUCUACACAAAUUCAAUUAUGUACCUAAAUAAAAUGGUAUUGACCUAAUUCGAUCUAUCACUUGAUUAAUUGGCCAAUACAUCCAAUUUAACUCCAAUUAACUGCAUUUUUCUUCCAAUUCUCCAAACCAUCAAACACAAGUUAAAUAACUUGAAAUAUGGCAAAAUCAUCCUCACAUUUUCUCUUGGAAAAUUAGGCCAUGGUAGGUGCAUCAACACUAUAAUUUUUCCUACUUGAUUCUUACACCAUAAAUCACUAAUUUCUAACCAAAUCACUUGAAAUAAAAUCAAAAUCAUUCUCAAUAUGCCACAUGGAGAAUUCGGCCAAUGAUGGGUGAUGGAAGAACAUGAAUCUUUCUUGCUUGAUUUUCAUGCUACACAUCACCAAUCAACUAAAAACACUAAAAUACAUUGAAAUCUAACCAAAUCAAGAAUCAAAACCUCUCUCUAAGUGUUCAGCCAGCAAGAUACCCAUCAUAAAAUCAUGUGAUUCAACCAUGGAAAAUAAGAAAAAAAAUGCUUAAGAAAGAGAGAUCUCAAACUUAAUUGAAAAAUCUUACCUUUUUUCACUUGUUUCCUUGAAUUUUCACACUUUUCCCUUGAAUUUUCCACCUAGAGUUUUUGUUCUUCUUUUCUUCCUUUGUUCUUCCUUUGGCCGGCC